Corylus avellana is the source of this 792-nucleotide non-coding RNA. NCBI's taxonomy places the organism in Eukaryota, Viridiplantae, Streptophyta, Magnoliopsida, Fagales, Betulaceae. The record is from RefSeq and is a predicted model, not a curated record.
ACAGGAGCUUUGAAUAUAUUAAAACAGAGCUUUGAAUACUAACAUAGAGAUACUUUCAGAUAUGCAUAUCACCCACUAAUUUCAUUUUUCUGCUGAGAAGAAUGAGCUUCGUGAUGAGAAGCAGAGGCUCAAGGCUGGCAAAGAGAAGUUGGAGCAGCAAGUGAAAGCAAUGAAUGCUCAACCAGACUCCCUGCCUCAUCCCUCUGCAAUGUUGGGUACAUUUGCUGCUCAAGCUGAUGCCUUUCAUUGGUUGUCCCAACAUGGCAAUUCAUGGCACCUGCUGUAGUUGACACAUCACAGGAUCAUGUAUUACGCAAUUCAGGUAUAUGGAUAUUGCGGUUGGAAAACCAAAUUUGGCAACUAUGGUGCUCUUGGAAUAGCAUCUUAAGCAUUGGGCUUGUAAGAUCUUCUGAAAGAUCAUAAGGAUUUGAAAGUUGAAGUGGUAGGAUGCUUGACAGGGGGAGGAUCUUGAGGUUCUUGGGAAGAGGAUCUUGAGGUUUAUCAUUCUGUAUUCAUCAUCUUCCUUUCAAGUUUUGGUCUAUGGUUUCCAUUCCUGUCUGCCCCAUGCCCCCAUGGUUCUACUUCCUCUUGGAACUUGGCUCGAGAUUGUGCUUUUUCUACUCAACUUGCUCCCUGAUUGAAAAUGUCUUCAUUUGGCAACAGAGGCCCAGAGAGCUCUAAAGGGAAGCUAUUUUUUCCCCACUAAAGGAAACCUUGGGGCAGAGCCAGAGCUUGAAAGGGGUGCCCCCCUCAAGAGUCGUUUGGGUAAUCAUUCUGAUUUCUGUAUUUUAA